AGCAGCCGCGGUAAUUCCAGCUCCAAUAGCGUAUAUUAAAGUUGUUGCAGUUAAAAAGCUCGUAGUUGAAUUUCGGGAUUGGCGCAUCGGUCGUGCCUCACGGGGUAUGAACUGGUGCAGUCAAUUUCUCACCUUCUGGAGAACCGCGAUGCCCUUAAUUGGAUGCCGCGGGGAACCAGGACCUUUACUUUGAAAAAAUUAGAGUGUUUAAAGCAGGCAUUUUUGCUUGAAUACAUUAGCAUGGAAUAAUAAAAUAGGACGGCAUGGUUCUAUUUUGUUGGUUUCUAGGACCACCGUAAUGAUUAAUAGGGAUAGUUGGGGGCAUUAGUAUUCAAUUGUCAGAGGUGAAAUUCUUGGAUUUAUUGAAGACUAACUACUGCGAAAGCAUUUGCCAAGGAUGUUUUCAUUAAUCAAGAACGAAAGUUAGGGGAUCGAAGACGAUCAGAUACCGUCGUAGUCUUAACCAUAAACUAUGCCGACUAGGAAUCAGACGAUGUUAAUUUUUUAAUGACUCGUUUGGCACCUUACG
RNAcentral lists this ribosomal RNA (529 nucleotides) under uncultured Entrophospora. RNAcentral's name for it is "SSU rRNA". It matches the Rfam family "Eukaryotic small subunit ribosomal RNA", at positions 569 to 1092 of the family's 1831-position model. Lineage: Eukaryota; Fungi; Glomeromycota; Glomeromycetes; Entrophosporales; Entrophosporaceae. The record is from RNAcentral.